GACGAACGCUGGCGGCGCGCUUAACACAUGCAAGUCGAACGGAAAGGCCUGCUUUCCCUUGUGGAUUGCGGGUACUCGAGUGGCGAACGGGUGAGUAACACGUGAGUGAUCUGCCCCCAACUUGGGUAUAAGCCUGGGAAACUGGGUCUAAUUCCCGAUAGGACUGCAGGGUGGUGCCUGUGGUGGAAAACGAUUUUCUAGUGGUUGGGGAUGAGCUCGCGGCCUAUCAGCUUGUUGGUGGGGUAAUGGCCUACCAAGGCGGCGACGGGUAGCCGGCCUGAGAGGGUGGACGGCCACAUUGGGACUGAGAUACGGCCCAGACGCCUACGGGAGGCAGCAGUGGGGAAUAUUGCACAAUGGGCGGAAGCCUGAUGCAGCGACGCCGCGUGGGGGAUGACGGCAUUCGGGUUGUAAACUCCUUUCGACCGCGAGGAAGCCACCUGGUUGGAAGGGUGGUGACGGUAGUGGUAGAAGAAGCACCGGCUAACUACGUG
RNAcentral lists this ribosomal RNA (494 nucleotides) under uncultured bacterium. RNAcentral's name for it is "partial 16S ribosomal RNA". It matches the Rfam family "Bacterial small subunit ribosomal RNA", at positions 28 to 507 of the family's 1533-position model. The record is from RNAcentral.